AGUGGCGGACGGGUGAGUAACGCGUGAGAAUCUGCCUUGGGGUCGGGGACAACCACUGGAAACGGUGGCUAAUACCGGAUAAGCCGAUUGGUGAAAGAUUUAUUGCCCGAAGAGGAGCUCGCGUCUGAUUAGCUAGUUGGUGAGGUAAGAGCUCACCAAGGCAGCGAUCAGUAGCUGGUCUGAGAGGACGAUCAGCCACACUGGGACUGAGACACGGCCCAGACUCCUACGGGAGGCAGCAGUGGGGAAUUUUCCGCAAUGGGCGAAAGCCUGACGGAGCAAGACCGCGUGAGGGAGGAAGGCUCUUGGGUUGUAAACCUCUUUUCUCAGGGAAGAAGCUCUGACGGUACCUGAGGAAUCAGCCUCGGCUAACUCCGUGCCAGCAGCCGCGGUAAUACGGAGGAGGCAAGCGUUAUCCGGAAUUAUUGGGCGUAAAGCGUCCGCAGGUGGCGAUUCAACUCUGCUGUCAAAGCACGGGGCUUAACUCCGUAAAGGCAGUGGAAACUGAAUAGCUAGAGUGCCGUAGGGGUAGAGGGAAUUCCCGGUGUAGCGGUGAAAUGCGUAGAGAUCGGGAAGAACAUCGGUGGCGAAAGCGCUCUACUGGACGGCAACUGACACUCAGGGACGAAAGCUAGGGGAGCGAAUGGGAUUAGAUACCCC
This 660-nucleotide ribosomal RNA is filed under the name uncultured bacterium. RNAcentral's name for it is "bacterial SSU rRNA". It matches the Rfam family "Bacterial small subunit ribosomal RNA", at positions 94 to 788 of the family's 1533-position model. The record is from RNAcentral.